GGCGAACGGGUGAGUAAUAUAUCGGAACGUGCCCUAGAGUGGGGGAUAACUAGUCGAAAGAUUAGCUAAUACCGCAUACGAUCUACGGAUGAAAGUGGGGGAUCGCAAGACCUCAUGCUCCUGGAGCGGCCGAUAUCUGAUUAGCUAGUUGGUAGGGUAAAAGCCUACCAAGGCGACGAUCAGUAGCUGGUCUGAGAGGACGACCAGCCACACUGGGACUGAGACACGGCCCAGACUCCUACGGGAGGCAGCAGUGGGGAAUUUUGGACAAUGGGGGAAACCCUGAUCCAGCAAUGCCGCGUGUGUGAAGAAGGCCUUCGGGUUGUAAAGCACUUUUGUCAGGAACGAAACGGUGGGGGCUAAUAUCCUCUGCUAAUGACGGUACCUGAAGAAUAAGCACCGGCUAACUACGUGCCAGCAGCCGCGGUAAUACGUAGGGUGCGAGCGUUAAUCGGAAUUACUGGGCGUAAAGCGUGCGCAGGCGGUUGUGCAAGACAGAUGUGAAAUCCCCGGGCUUAACCUGGGAAUUGCAUUUGUGACUGCACGGCUAGAGUGUGUCAGAGGGGGGUAGAAUUCCACGUGUAGCAGUGAAAUGCGUAGAUAUGUGGAGGAAUACCGAUGGCGAAGGCAGCCCCCUGGGAUAACACUGACGCUCAUGCACGAAAGCGUGGGGAGCAAACAGGAUU
Molecule: ribosomal RNA, 686 nt
Filed under: uncultured Herbaspirillum sp.
Lineage: Bacteria; Pseudomonadati; Pseudomonadota; Betaproteobacteria; Burkholderiales; Oxalobacteraceae
Description: bacterial SSU rRNA
Rfam family: Bacterial small subunit ribosomal RNA
Source: RNAcentral